RNAcentral lists this ribosomal RNA (751 nucleotides) under uncultured organism. RNAcentral describes it as "bacterial SSU rRNA". It matches the Rfam family "Bacterial small subunit ribosomal RNA", at positions 48 to 785 of the family's 1533-position model. The record is from RNAcentral.
CUAAUACAUGCAAGUCCAACGGUAACUGGGCAGAACUUCGGUUCAGCCGCUGACGAGUGGCGCACGGGUGAGUAACGCGUACAUAACCUGCCUUCAAGAGAGGGGAGCCCUGGGAAACUGGGAUAAAUACCUCAUGGUAUUGCUAAGUCGCAUGGCUGUGCAAUUAAAGUUUCGGCGCUUGAAGAUGGAUGUGCGUGCCAUUAGCUAGUUGGUAAGGUAACGGCUUACCAAGGCAACGAUGGCUAGGGGGCGCGAGAGGGUGACCCCCCACACGGGUACUGAGACACGGACCCGACUCCUACGUUAUGCAGCAGUAAGGAAUAUUGGACAAUGGAGGCAACUCUGAUCCAGCCAAUCCCGCGUGCAGGAUGACUGCCCUACGGGUUGUAAACUGCUUUUAUUUGGGAAGAAACCUGUUUAUUUACUGAACAGUUGACGGUACCUUAUGAAUAAGCACCGGCUAACUCCGUGCCAGCAGCCGCGGUAAUACGGAGGGUGCAAGCGUUAUCCGGAAUCACUGGGUUUAAAAGGGAGCGUAGGCGGCAUGAUAAGUCAGAGGUGCAAAGGCUGUAGCUUACCUAUGGAAUUGCCUUUGAUACUUGUUGUGCUUGAAUCGAAGUGAGGUCAGCAGAAGGUGACAUGCAGCGGUGAAAUGCAUAGAUAUGUCAUAGAAUACCAAUUGUGAAGACAGCUGGCUGGACUUGUAUUGACGCUGAGGCUCGAAAGGCGUGGGGGCAACAGGAUUAGAUAC